CGCCCGCGUAGCGCAGGUGCUGCGGCACAUCCUCGCCGAGGAUUUCAAGGGCCCGUUCGACCCGGGCGCCGGCGGC
RNAcentral lists this transfer RNA (76 nucleotides) under Arthrobacter saudimassiliensis. RNAcentral describes it as "tRNA-Gly". Lineage: Bacteria; Bacillati; Actinomycetota; Actinomycetes; Micrococcales; Micrococcaceae. The record is from RNAcentral.